This 403-nucleotide ribosomal RNA is filed under the name uncultured bacterium. RNAcentral describes it as "bacterial SSU rRNA". It matches the Rfam family "Bacterial small subunit ribosomal RNA", at positions 28 to 424 of the family's 1533-position model. The record is from RNAcentral.
GACGAACGCUGGCGGCGUGCCUAACACAUGCAAGUCGAGCGGGAACCUCGGGAGGGGUAACCCUUCUGAGGGGAGAGCGGCGAACGGGUGAGUAACACGUGGGCAACCUGCCCCGGACACCGGGAUAACCCAGGGAAACCUGAGCUAAUACCGGAUACUCCGGCGCGAUCGCAUGGUCGUGCCGGGAAAGCUCCGACGGUCCGGGAUGGGCCCGCGGCCUAUCAGCUUGUUGGUGGGGUAACGGCCCACCAAGGCGACGACGGGUAGCUGGUCUGAGAGGACGGCCAGCCACACUGGGACUGAGACACGGCCCAGACUCCUACGGGAGGCAGCAGUGGGGGAUCUUGCGCUAAUGCGCGAAAGCGUGACGCAGCGACGCCGCGUGGGGAUGAAGGCCUCGGUU